This is a transfer RNA of Cavia porcellus (domestic guinea pig), 63 nucleotides long. It matches the Rfam family "tRNA". Rfam says of the family: Transfer RNA (tRNA) molecules are approximately 80 nucleotides in length. Their secondary structure includes four short double-helical elements and three loops (D, anti-codon, and T loops). Further hydrogen bonds mediate the characteristic L-shaped molecular structure. tRNAs have two regions of fundamental functional importance: the anti-codon, which is responsible for specific mRNA codon recognition, and the 3' end, to which the tRNAs corresponding amino acid is attached (by aminoacyl-tRNA synthetases). tRNAs cope with the degeneracy of the genetic code in two manners: having more than one tRNA (with a specific anti-codon) for a particular amino acid; and 'wobble' base-pairing, i.e. permitting non-standard base-pairing at the 3rd anti-codon position. NCBI's taxonomy places the organism in Eukaryota, Metazoa, Chordata, Mammalia, Rodentia, Caviidae. The record is from Rfam.
GGGGAUUUAGCUCAGUGGCAUAAGCACCUGCCUUACAAGCAGGCGGUCAUAGUUCAAUCUCUG